UACGUAGGGGGCAAGCGUUAUCCGGAUUUACUGGGUGUAAAGGGGGCGCAGACGGCAGCGCAAGCCAGGAGUGAAAGCCCGGGGCCCAACCCCGGGACUGCUCUUGGAACUGCGCGGCUGGAGUGCAGGAGGGGCAGGCGGAAUUCCUGGUGUAGCGGUGAAAUGCGUAGAUAUCAGGAGGAACACCGGUGGCGAAAGCGGCUCUCUGGCCUGUAACUGACACUGAGGCUCGAAAGCGUGGGGAGCAAACAGG
This 253-nucleotide ribosomal RNA is filed under the name uncultured bacterium. Its description in RNAcentral is "partial 16S ribosomal RNA". It matches the Rfam family "Bacterial small subunit ribosomal RNA", at positions 524 to 776 of the family's 1533-position model. The record is from RNAcentral.